GCAAUAGCUCAGUCGGUAGAGCACGAGGCUCACAAUCUCAGGGUUCUGGGUUCGAGUACUGCUUUGGGCA
This is a non-coding RNA of Podarcis lilfordi (Lilford's wall lizard), 70 nucleotides long. Lineage: Eukaryota; Metazoa; Chordata; Lepidosauria; Squamata; Lacertidae. The record is from the annotation of a GenBank genome assembly.